Molecule: non-coding RNA, 108 nt
Organism: Acanthosepion pharaonis
Lineage: Eukaryota; Metazoa; Mollusca; Cephalopoda; Sepiida; Sepiidae
Source: the annotation of a GenBank genome assembly
GCCAAACCACAUUGAAACACCAGUUCCUGUACAAUCACCGAAUUUAAGCAUCGUCCAGCCUGGUCGGUAAUUAGAUGUGUGACCGCUUGGGAAUACCAGUUGCUGUAA